Molecule: long non-coding RNA, 399 nt
Filed under: Homo sapiens (human)
Lineage: Eukaryota; Metazoa; Chordata; Mammalia; Primates; Hominidae
Description: non-protein coding lnc-IL31RA-2:1
Source: RNAcentral
GCCAUUUUUUUGGAAACCUCGGCGCCAUGAGAGCCAAGUGGAGGAAGAAGCGAAUGCGCAGGCUGAAGCGCAAAAGAAGAAAGAUGAGGCAGAGGUCCAAGUAAACCGCUAGCUUGUUGCACCGUGGAGGCCACAGGAGCAGAAACAUGGAAUGCCAGACGCUGGGGAUGCUGGUACAAGUUGUGGGACUGCAUGCUACUGUCUAGAGCUUGUCUCAAUGGAUCUAGAACUUCAUCGCCCUCUGAUCGCCGAUCACCUCUGAGACCCACCUUGCUCAAAAACAAAAUGCCCAUGUUGGUCCUCUGCCCUGGACCUGUGACAUUCUGGACUAUUUCUGUGUUUAUUUGUGGCCGAGUGUAACAACCAUAUAAUAAAUCACCUCUUCCGCUGUUUUAGCUG